GUCACACCACUCCUGGUCCUCCACCUUGUGGUGGGUGGAUUGGUUUGGGGAUUGGAGGGCUCCUCCAUGUUUUCCUAUGAGGGACCACACAAUGAGUGCUGGAGAUGAGGUGUCACUUGAAGGUGCAAGGGUGAUAAUAGAUAAAGGGGACUAAGGGUUUGUUUGUUUGGCUGGUGCAAUUUAGUUGUUUAUAAUUGGAACUUAUAUGGUUGCCCAAAGAGGAACCUUGUUUGGUUGUUUGCAGUUGAAAACUAUAAAUGCAAUUGCAGCUGUUUGAUUGUUUAAUGUAUGAAGAAAUAUGGUUACCCUAUAAUUGAGCCAAUAAAGUUACCCAUG
This 336-nucleotide long non-coding RNA is filed under the name Elaeis guineensis (African oil palm). RNAcentral's name for it is "long non-coding RNA (EGUI_LNC006417)". Lineage: Eukaryota; Viridiplantae; Streptophyta; Magnoliopsida; Arecales; Arecaceae. The record is from RNAcentral.